This 499-nucleotide ribosomal RNA is filed under the name uncultured Glomeromycotina. RNAcentral describes it as "partial small subunit ribosomal RNA". It matches the Rfam family "Eukaryotic small subunit ribosomal RNA", at positions 591 to 1092 of the family's 1831-position model. The record is from RNAcentral. Lineage: Eukaryota; Fungi; Glomeromycota.
CCAAUAGCGUAUAUUAAAGUUGUUGCAGUUAAAAAGCUCGUAGUUGAAUUUCGGGAUCAAUUUGUUGGUCGUGCUAUUGUACGUACUGGUAUUAUUGAUUCCUACCUUCUGACGAACCAUGAUGUCAUUAAUUUGGUGUCUUGGGGAAUCAGGACUGUUACUUUGAAAAAAUUAGAGUGUUUAAAGCAGGCUCACGCUUGAAUACAUUAGCAUGGAAUAACGAAAUAGGACGUUUGAUUCUAUUUUGUUGGUUUCUAGGAUCGACGUAAUGAUUAAUAGGGAUAGUUGGGGGCAUUAGUAUUCAAUUGUCAGAGGUGAAAUUCUUGGAUUUAUUGAAGACUAACUACUGCGAAAGCAUUUGCCAAGGAUGUUUUCAUUAAUCAAGAACGAAAGUUAGGGGAUCGAAGACGAUCAGAUACCGUCGUAGUCUUAACCAUAAACUAUGCCGACUAGGGAUCGGAUGAUGUUAAUUUUUUAAUGACUCAUUCGGCGCCUUACG